Molecule: long non-coding RNA, 489 nt
Filed under: Setaria viridis
Lineage: Eukaryota; Viridiplantae; Streptophyta; Magnoliopsida; Poales; Poaceae
Description: long non-coding RNA (SVIR_LNC002070)
Source: RNAcentral
CAAAAUUCCUGUUCCAGCACUGUAGCACACUGUAACGUUUCGUUUGUAUUUGUGAAUUAUUGUCCAAAUAUUGACUAAUUAGGCUCAAAAGAUUCGUCUCGCAAAGUACAACAAAACUGUGCAAUUAGUUUUUAAUUUCAUCUACAUUUAGUACUACAUGCAUGUACCGCGAGUUUGAUGUGAUGGGGAAUCUUCUUUUUGCAUAGUGUCAAAAUUGGGAGUUGGGGAGUAACUAAACAUGGCCUUCAUACCAUAGCUCAUAUUGGAGCAUGAAGUUUCAGGUCAAUGUGUCAGAUUAUUGUCAGAAUUCGGAAGGACCUCAAGUGCCAUGAAAUUCAAAUAAGUAGCUCAGAGCUGAACUUGGAGUUGCUGUGGACAUGGACACAUCAACAUUAACGAGCCAUUGAAUCGAGGUGGCAUCUUGUGGUGUUUUUAGUGAAGUUUUGUCGCAAUUCUUUUCUUCACGUAGGUAAAAUCUACUUUUCCUUA